CGACAAGAUAUGAUUGAGGAUUAGUUGGUUGGUUUGGGCAAGUGGUGAAUUCAAUUAGCCUAAAGGACAACUGGCGAUAGAAGCAGAGGUUUCGGUCCAAAAGCGUGAUUCAGCGGUCCAAAUUAUUAUUAAUUUUCUUAAUUAGAUUAUUAUUGAUUUUAUAUGGCGUCAAAUUUCCCACUCAUUUGCCAAAUUUGCCAGGAAACUGCUCAAUUUCAUCUGAAUUCUAUAUCAAAACCUCUGUUUCAAGGAAAUUUUUGUUAAAUUAAAUGAUUAUGGUGGAGGAGGGAUCAGAGAGGGCAUUGAUGAGGAGCUUGCAGAAGGAGCAAGAAAGAGAACGGCGUCGUAUACGUGAUAGGCAGAGAAGACAAUCCAUGAGUGUUGAGGAGAGGGAGAAGCAUCUCGCUAGACGCCGGAGAAACUAUCAACUACGUCGUCAGAGAGCUGAAAAUGCCCGCUUGGACCUUCGAGUUAAUCAAAAUACA
Molecule: unclassified non-coding RNA, 485 nt
Filed under: Hevea brasiliensis (rubber tree)
Lineage: Eukaryota; Viridiplantae; Streptophyta; Magnoliopsida; Malpighiales; Euphorbiaceae
Source: RNAcentral